RNAcentral lists this ribosomal RNA (253 nucleotides) under uncultured bacterium. RNAcentral's name for it is "partial 16S ribosomal RNA". It matches the Rfam family "Bacterial small subunit ribosomal RNA", at positions 524 to 776 of the family's 1533-position model. The record is from RNAcentral.
UACGUAGGCAGCGAGCGUUGUUCGGAGUUACUGGGCGUAAAGAGUGUGUAGGUGGUUCUCUAAGUUCGGUGUGAAAUCUCCCGGCUUAACUGGGAGGGUGCGCCGAAAACUGGAGGGCUUGAGUGUGGGAGAGGAAAGCGGAAUUCCUGGUGUAGCGGUGAAAUGCGUAGAUAUCAGGAGGAACACCCGCGGUGUAGACGGCUUUCUGGACCACGACUGACACUGAGACACGAAAGCGUGGGGAGCAAACAGG